AAGAAACUUUUCCCAAAAGUUAUGCAAACAAUAUUUAAGGAAUGUGUUAGUCCUAGAGGUUUACAAGUGAAAUAUAAACAGAAACACAUAGCUAUCGAAUUUACAGAGGAUGAAAUAUCCUUAAUGGAAAAACUUCCAAAUAUAGAUGACUUCACCAUUGAAUUAUGCUAUAAAAUAUUGCGGUACGAAAAUGUAUUGCAUGAACCGUCGUGUAAGUGGGGGAAUGACCCACACGAUACAGCAGUUCAAAUCGGCGAUGAUGUUCAGAGAAUACUUAAUGCAACUAAUGAUGUUAUCAGUAGGAAGUCGGAUGAAAUAUCACAGCUAUAUUACGAAGAGUUUCAAAAAAGAACACAACAGGUACUAAAGAGAGUGGA
This 377-nucleotide long non-coding RNA is filed under the name Mytilus galloprovincialis (Mediterranean mussel). The record is from RNAcentral. Lineage: Eukaryota; Metazoa; Mollusca; Bivalvia; Mytilida; Mytilidae.